RNAcentral lists this ribosomal RNA (143 nucleotides) under uncultured archaeon. RNAcentral describes it as "partial 16S ribosomal RNA". The record is from RNAcentral.
CGGCGGCUGACACCAGACUUGCCCACCCCUUAUUCUGCCCCUUUUUAGAGGUGCCAAAAGAUUUUCUUAGCGGAAAUCACUCAGAGUAACCCUGUCAGGCUUUCGCCUAUUGCAUAGGUUUCGCGCCUGCUGCGCCCCAUAGG